This is a long non-coding RNA of Neocloeon triangulifer, 1018 nucleotides long. RefSeq lists it as uncharacterized. The record is from RefSeq and is a predicted model, not a curated record. The transcript is spliced from 3 exons. Lineage: Eukaryota; Metazoa; Arthropoda; Insecta; Ephemeroptera; Baetidae.
GAUUUAUAAUUUAAAUUAACAAUUUGUUAAAUAUUUAAAUCCAAAAUUAACUUAACGAUGUCAUAAAUCAUAAUUUUAAAGUAUCCAUGAGUAAUCAUUGAUAAUUACAAAAAAAUUUACAUUCAAUAUAAUAUAUUUUAAAAAUUAUAAAAGCCGCUUUAAUACUCUAAUCUAAUCUCAUAAAUAUAAGAAUAAAAAUUAAAAUACCGGAAAAUACUCUGGACGGAAAAAAGUUUUGAAACAAGGUAAAUUUAAUACCGAAAUAAUAAUAAAAAAUUAGAAUCAGUUUGAAUUUUUUCCCCAACAUUUUUGAGUAAUUUAAGCAUUUAAAUUGGUCCCUUAUUCUAAAAAAAGCAAGCCUUGCUCAUAUCUUGCUCCAUUGAGCAAGCAUUGCUAUUCUUGCUCUUGAUCGAGCAAGGUCUGCUCAAUCUUGCACAAGCUGCUCAUGGCGCCACUAGUCAAACAGUUAAAACAAAUGAGCAUCGCUGUGCGUGCCGCGUCGCCGCGUGAUGCAUUGAGCGUUGGCAAGUAAACAAAACGGUCGAUUCUGAGGGGAUUUCGACUUCACACGAUUUCAGGGUGGAAAUUCAAUUUAAAAUCAAGCAAAGAUUCAGCAAAGAUGUUGUCUUAACAAAUCCGCAUAUCCUUCUGGAAUUGAAGCGGCAUCUGCCUGAUUGAAGGGACUGGCCGUUGUGAGGACACCUUCAGCGUGUGUUUCGUAUCUAUUAGACGCAUAUUAUUUCCUUUGCUGGAUCUCAGGAUGGGUUUCCAGACACCACAAAACUGGCAGCCUUUUUACUACUCUCAACUCUAAAAGAUAAGUAAAAUUUACAUUUUUCUUUUAGCGCAGCAUGUAAUUUUAAUUAAAAUUGUUGAAUUUCUCUCAAAAAUUAAUUUUUUCAUUAUUAUGAGAUUUAAAAACCUCUGUUAAAAACUAGCUUAUUCAAUUAAACCACAAUGGAAAAAUUCCUUUAAUUUAAUGCCAUAACAACUUUACUUUUUUUAAAUAAAUUAUAUU